GAUGAACGCUGGCGGCGUGCCUAAUACAUGCAAGUCGAGCGAACUGAUGAGGAGCUUGCUCCUCUGACGUUAGCGGCGGACGGGUGAGUAACACGUGGAUAACCUACCUAUAAGACUGGGAUAACUUCGGGAAACCGGAGCUAAUACCGGAUAAUAUAUUGAACCGCAUGGUUCAAUAGUGAAAGACGGUUUUGCUGUCACUUAUAGAUGGAUCCGCGCCGCAUUAGCUAGUUGGUAAGGUAACGGCUUACCAAGGCAACGAUGCGUAGCCGACCUGAGAGGGUGGUCGGCCACACUGGAACUGAGACACGGUCCAGACUCCUACGGGAGGCAGCAGUAGGGAAUCUUCCGCAAUGGGCGAAAGCCUGACGGAGAAACGCCGCGGGAGUGAUGAAGGUCGUCGGAUCGUAAAACUCUGUUAUUAGGGAAGAACAAAUGUGUAAGUAACUAGGCACGUCUUGACGGUACCUAAUCAGAAAGCCACGGCUAACUACGUGC
This 498-nucleotide ribosomal RNA is filed under the name uncultured bacterium. RNAcentral's name for it is "partial 16S ribosomal RNA". It matches the Rfam family "Bacterial small subunit ribosomal RNA", at positions 28 to 508 of the family's 1533-position model. The record is from RNAcentral.